Trifolium pratense (red clover) is the source of this 632-nucleotide long non-coding RNA. RefSeq lists it as uncharacterized. The transcript is spliced from 2 exons. NCBI's taxonomy places the organism in Eukaryota, Viridiplantae, Streptophyta, Magnoliopsida, Fabales, Fabaceae. The record is from RefSeq and is a predicted model, not a curated record.
UAUAUUAUUUUAUCUCUAUAAAUAGUCGACAAUUGUAUAAAUGUUUCACUUCACUAUACUCUUAACUGAUCAAGGAUGAAAACCAAGACUUUUAUUUUCUUGUUAUUUCUUUGUGCUGAAAUUCUUAUCUUUAUUGUGGCAAUUAAGCAAUCCAAUGAUGAAAAACAACUUGGCGCAACAAAAGAAUCCAAAACCAAAUUUGCAAUAGAUCAUUGGAAAAGGACUAGUUGGAGAAGCACGUUUCCAAAAAAAGAUGUUAAAGGAGGGAAAAAAAUUGAACAAAACCCAGUAGAAUCAGGUUCAGGAGGAAAUGGCGAUGAAGGAAGUGCACAAGGCGAAGCUAUACAAAAUGGAGGUGAAAAAGAAAUAUGAAGUAGACUUGAUAGAGGAGGAAGAGGAAAAAAAUAAUAAAAAAUCUUAGGCAGGUUGGGGAUAUUGGAGAGGCGGCGUAGGUAGCAAACAAUUGUGGGUGUGUGGUGUAAGACACAUAAUUUAAUUAUUGUGAACACUUCGGUACACAUUUUAUUUAGAUAUGUAUCAGUAUAUCGUAGAGGUGUAUACUACCAGAAAAAGUUAAUAAACACCUCAGUAUCAUCAGAUAGGUCUAAAAAUUAAUAAACACUCUUUGUCAA